CCCCAAGGAGGAUCUUAGAGAAGUUUGUGAAGAGACCAGUGACCGCCGCGUGCAGCAGCACGUUGACCAGAUGGUAGCUCCAGGGAUUCAGCCCUCCGAUGGCAUGGUUCAGGCGGAAAGAAAGAGUGCAGAGGGGCCGAAAAGCAAAGGACACUGCUUUGCAGACUCAUGAAUGUUCUGGAAACCUAGUGCAAGGAGCAUCGUGUCCCUGUUGGCUGCUGCUAUUACUAUUCUACAAAGACUGUUCUAAUCUACAGAAAGGCCCUUAUUAAAUUCAGCUUGACCCACAACUUCUGAAAUCAGGUGCACCUGGGGAACAGAAUGAGCCCGCUACCAUUAAUGGUAUUAGCGAGUGGCAGCUGAAUCUACUCAUCAGUGAAAUCCUUUGUUAACAGAAGACCUACUAUAUCAUGGGUUUGAUUUUCUACUUUGAUUUUUACAAGGCUCUGUGUACUGACUGUGUAUAAAUGAAUUUCCAUAUAAAUUGGCUUUUAAAAUAUUAGAAACAGAUGUUAUUCUGGAUCCAUUAAAUUAAAACACCUUG
Long non-coding RNA from Bubalus bubalis (water buffalo), 544 nucleotides. RefSeq lists it as uncharacterized. The record is from RefSeq and is a predicted model, not a curated record. Lineage: Eukaryota; Metazoa; Chordata; Mammalia; Artiodactyla; Bovidae. The transcript is spliced from 3 exons.